UCUACAAAUCUCGAACUCUCAGUUUUUCCCUUCCCAUUCCCUUCCCCGCUGGUAACCACAAGCCUGUUUUCCAUGUCUGUUACUGUGACUUGAAACUCACAAUCUUUUACAUGUUUGAAUCUUCCUUUCAUUUCUCAAAAGCAAUUCAAAGAUGCUAAGAAAUCCUGUCAUGCUUUUGGUUCUAUGGCUUUCAGUGCUUCCUGGUAAGAUAUUUUGUGUUUUGUCUGUAACUUUCUGUUAAUUUUGAAGAACUUAAAAUGACAGGACAAGAUUAGACAAAGAGGAGGGAAGGCAGGGAGGGAGACAGUGAAGAGUCUGUUUCUCUCUGAUAUCAGAGAGCAGGAUUUCUUGAGCUGGAAUACUGGCUAGGGUUCAAAUAGUACAGUUGUCCCAUGGGUGCCUAACAACCUGCAUUUCUGACAAGCUUCCGGGGGCUUUGAUGCUGCUCAUCCCAAGUCCCUCGUUUAAGCAGAGGGUGCAGACUGCGUCCUGGGUGUUUGUGGAAAUAAGCAGCUUCAGUCAAUUCAAAAUCCAAAAUUGACAGUGAUCGGCACACUUGCCAGCACCAGCGGAGGCCAAAUGCUGCUUGAUGCUUAAGAUCCAGACUAUAGACAGAUGGCUUAGCUCUGUGACCAGACACACUCCUUACCCUCCCUGUCUCCGUUUCUCCAUCUGAAAAAUGGGAAUAAUCGUCGUACCUGCCUCACCAAGGUUAGUAUGGGAACUUACCUGGAUGAACAUAAAGGGAUCACACUCUAAAUCUUCAGUCAGUGAUGGUGGUGGGCUAUUAUCAUCAGCACUGAGAUAAAGAUACGCUCUUAUGUGGAAAUCCAACGAGACAUUUUGUAUCACUACAGAAAAGGAAUUGUAUUUCCCUCACCACAACUCCCCUCACCCUGUGAUCCCUUGUUUGUAUAAGUCAGAAACAGCAGGCACCUCCAGCCCUUUAAGUACAAAUCAGUACUAACUGGUAAGCAUGAUUUUAUGGAAACACCGACCCAUUCUCUUGGUCUGAAAAGUAAAAUUCUGACUAUUCUCAAAGCAAUUUGCAUCAAAACCUGUGUGCAGCUUUCUCCAAAAGAUCUUUGCUGGCUAAAUUCCCUCCCUCAUAGAGCAGGACAGACUCCUCUUAAGUCUACUCCCUGAAACAUUUUGGGAGGUCCAUAUCUGCUCAGACACGGAAGAAUUAACUGAGACGGCAGCUGAAACCAACAUGGGAAUGCCAAGUUCUGUGGAGGGAAGGAACAGAAUAACCUUUGAACUGAUUUCUAGGUCAUUUGGUGUCUUGAAAUCUCUGUCUCAGGGUUUAUUUUUAAACCCCUAAAAACUAGGUGUACCCUAGGGAGGAGAUUUGCUCUGAUUUUGGAAGCUCCUAAUUAGCAUGCUACAUUUCAUCAAGCCUGUGGGCAAGGCAGAGACUGGGCGGGGUCUUGGGUCCUCCCCCAGGCCCUCAUCAGCCCCAGAGGGGCAAAGUGGACGUGCCACUGCUCGGCCGGCAACAGGGCAAGUUUUGGGUUCAGCUGAUCUGACCCUAGCAUUGAGUGAGGUGCUGCCCCCCAUCACCUCGGCGACAGAAACUCCAGGUCUCAUCUCCAUACAAUCUGCCAGUGACUUGAACUUGAGAGUCCUUGAGUCUACUACACCAACAUCCGAGCUCCUGGGAGCGCCCAGGCAGGAAAGGUCAGGAGACCCAUUUUUAACAACAACAAGCCUCUGGCAGUGGCAGGCUGGUCCUGCUGGGACCACAAGCCAGGACCUAGUUGGCACUUGCUGUUGAUCUUGGCCCUCAAGAGCUCCAGCUUCUUAUGGCACCGUGGGGAAUGGGGUUAUUUCAGAAUCUGCUCUUUGGCUUUCUUUUUCUCCUAAUCUUAACGAAAUGGUGACUGGGAAGGACUUCUGGUUUAACAUUUUCCUGCAUCUGAGGAGUGUGUGUGAACUGUUCUUGUUUAAUUCCUCAGGAAGUUCAACACCAAUGGGAGCUGAAUCAAUAAUUACCAGAGAUUGUAUCCAACUCCCCUGGGAUUAGGCCCCAGAAAAUCCGCUUUCAAAAGAUAUGAAGACCAUGUGAUUGUGCCUCCUGCCUAGCAUCCUGCCAUUCUUGGAAGAAAAACAAAAAAGAAAAGCUGACAUCUGAACUAAUUUUCUCCAUGCCACACAUAACUCAGGAGGACACAGGCCAUUAGUUUUAGAAGGAAAUAAAGCACCAAAGCCUGGAUUAGCUAAUCUGUGGGAGAGGCCACUAUUAAUACAGAUGCAAAGAGUCUGCCCACAGUGAGGUGGGCCCCUCCUCCAGCACCUGUUCUGUUGCCUGUCCCAGUUUCUCACUACACAAGUGAAAGUUGUUUCAGAUGGACGCCCAAACCCACACCUGAUUCGGUGUGGGCGAGCAGCCCUGCCUGUGUUUGAGUCUAUCUGGGUUAGCAUCCCAAAGAAGAGAGCUGUAGUCAGAGACUGACAUCUGCCACACCCUUCGCAGGGCUCUGCCCUCAGGAGAAUUUCUGAAGCCAUGAGGACCUACUCUCUUCCUUGUCACAAGCCUCUCCUCAGCUUUGUGAGAUACUGUUCCUGCAGUACUUGAAUAUUAUCACUCCAUUCUCUCCUAGAUGCAAGGUCUCUACUGGGAAAUCUGCUGAUAGCCUUAUGAGGAAAGAUCAUUUUAGACUGAAAUUUUGGAGUAAGCUAUUAAUUUCAUGAACUUGGAAGUCCAUAUUUCUCCCAGGUUUGAGAAAUUCUCAGCCAUUAUUUCUUUAAAUAAGCUUUCUACCUCUUUCUCUGUCUCUUCUCCUUUUGUAACUCCAAUAAUAUGUACAUUGUUUCUCUUAACGGGGUCUCCUAAGUCCUAUAGGUGUUCUUCAGUCCUUUUCAUUCUUUUUGCUCCUCUGGAUAAUUUCAGUUGAUCUGUCUCACUGAUUCUUUCUUCUUCAUCUUCAAGUCUGAUGUUGAAGCUCUCUACUGAAUUUUUCAAUUCAGUCAUUGUAUUCUUCAGCUCCAAAAUUUCUUUUUUAGAUUUUCUGUCUCUUUGAUGUACGUCUUAUUUGUUCUUGUCCUAUUUUCCAGAUAUGAUUAAAUUGUUUGUUCUCUUGUAGUUCUCAGAGCAUCUUUAGACAAUUUUCUUAAACUAUCAGGCAAUCCUAGAUCUCUGUUUCUUUAGGGCCAGUUACUGGAGGUUGACUGUAUUCCUUUGAUGGAGACGUCUCCCUGAUUCUUCAUGAUCCCUGUAGCCUUGCAUGAGUGUCUGCAUUUCAAGAAGCAGUCAUCUCUUACAGACAUUAUGGACUGACUUUGGGAGAUGGAGGCUGGGUAUCCUACAUUGCCAUUUUGAUGAUGCCACCUCCAGCCCUGCAACUCAGGAGCAGCCAGAUGGAAGAG
Vicugna pacos (alpaca) is the source of this 3369-nucleotide non-coding RNA. Lineage: Eukaryota; Metazoa; Chordata; Mammalia; Artiodactyla; Camelidae. The record is from RefSeq and is a predicted model, not a curated record.